GUUUGUCUAUCUGGGGUCUGUAACUAGAUAAAGAGAAAGGAAUAUUUGCUCCUGAGUCACUUUAUCUCAAACUUGCCUUUUGACAUAGAUAAAGUUUGGUUAUUAAUAUAUCAGUUAAUUUUGAAACAGUCUGUAUUUUUACUUUGUUUUUGCAAUAUCCUUCUGCUUAUUAACUUCCAUUAUACGUUGAGGCAAAUUAGUGCAAAGUAGUCUCAAAAACAGAUAAUGCAUUGAAAUGAAUUAUUAGGGUAAUGUAAAUGGUCUUAGGUCUAUAUCAGGUGCUUUAGUUUAUAUACUGAAUGUCUCCAAAGGCCUGUGUAUUAAAGAUCUGAUCCCUGGCUUGGUAUAAUUGGCUGACAGUGGAGACUUCAAGAAAUGGGGUCUUAUAAGAAGUGUUAGGUCUUGGUAGUAUGCCCUCAAAGGAAAUAGAAGGACUCCAGUCCUUUUCUCUCCCUGCCUAAUAUAUUUUUGCUUCACUAAAUGCUUCUUCCUCAUCAUUAUGUACCUUCUCACCUCAGCCCCCAAAGUGAUGGGGCCAAUCAACCAUGG
Molecule: long non-coding RNA, 549 nt
Filed under: Marmota monax (woodchuck)
Lineage: Eukaryota; Metazoa; Chordata; Mammalia; Rodentia; Sciuridae
Source: RNAcentral